RNAcentral lists this long non-coding RNA (401 nucleotides) under Ursus maritimus (polar bear). Its description in RNAcentral is "lncRNA (ENSUMAG00000008881.1)". Lineage: Eukaryota; Metazoa; Chordata; Mammalia; Carnivora; Ursidae. The record is from RNAcentral.
CCCGCCUCCAAACCCUACCUCUGUCCUUGACCUUUACCUGUUAAAAGGGAGGAGAGGAAGGGGGAAUGUUGGCGUUGCCCCAGGUACUUUCAAGCUCGUCCUCCCCUUCUGCUCCACGAAGUGCGGCUUAGGUUGGCCCCAGCCAGACACCGCGAAUGUCCACCGCUUGAAUCCAUUUAUCUACUUCAUUAACCAGGAUAACACCGAACACAUGGCACAUUUUUUUUUUCAGUUUGAUUAAAAGUGAAGCAAAGUGUGCCUUCUGUCACCUCUGUCCCAGUGCUAGAGAACAUCCUCAUACAUCGUGUGCAUUAAUAGUUCCAGUCCUCCAGUCUUCUUGUGGGGUAAGAGGGGCUUUAUUUUAAUCGAAUUUGGAAAUGGUGUCAGAAUGCAAGGUUUCA